GAUGAACGCUGGCGGCGUGCCUAAUACAUGCAAGUCGAGCGAACGGACGAGAAGCUUGCUUCUCUGAUGUUAGCGGCGGACGGGUGAGUAACACGUGGAUAACCUACCUAUAAGACUGGGAUAACUUCGGGAAACCGGAGCUAAUACCGGAUGAUAUUUUGAACCGCAUGGUUCAAAAGUGAAAGACGGUCUUGCUGUCACUUAUAGAUGGAUCCGCGCUGCAUUAGCUAGUUGGUAAGGUAACGGCUUACCAAGGCAACGAUGCAUAGCCGACCUGAGAGGGUGAUCGGCCACACUGGAACUGAGACACGGUCCAGACUCCUACGGGAGGCAGCAGUAGGGAAUCUUCCGCAAUGGGCGAAAGCCUGACGGAGCAACGCCGCGUGAGUGAUGAGGGUCUUCGGAUCGUAAAACUCUGUUAUUAGGGAAGAACAUAUGUGUAAGUGACUGUGCACAUCUUGACGGUACCUAGUCAGAAAGCCACGGCUAACUACGUG
RNAcentral lists this ribosomal RNA (497 nucleotides) under uncultured bacterium. RNAcentral's name for it is "partial 16S ribosomal RNA". It matches the Rfam family "Bacterial small subunit ribosomal RNA", at positions 28 to 507 of the family's 1533-position model. The record is from RNAcentral.